RNAcentral lists this ribosomal RNA (915 nucleotides) under uncultured Methanosaeta sp. Its description in RNAcentral is "bacterial SSU rRNA". It matches the Rfam family "Archaeal small subunit ribosomal RNA", at positions 1 to 922 of the family's 1478-position model. The record is from RNAcentral. Lineage: Archaea; Methanobacteriati; Methanobacteriota; Methanomicrobia; Methanotrichales; Methanotrichaceae.
UUCCGGUUGAUCCUGCCGGAGGUUACUGCUAUCGAGGUUCGACUAAGCCAUGCGAGUCGAAUGUAGCAAUACAUGGCGAACUGCUCAGUAACACGUGGACAACCUGCCCUUAGGUUGGGUAUAAACCCGGGAAACUGGGUAUAAUACCCGAUAGGUCUCGAUUGCUGGAAUGCAUCGAGAUUUAAAGCUCCGGCGCCUAAGGAUGGGUCUGCGGCCUAUCAGGUAGUAGUGGGUGUAGCGUACCUACUAGCCUACGACGGGUACGGGUUGUGAGAGCAAGAGCCCGGAGAUGGAUUCUGAGACACGAAUCCAGGCCCUACGGGGUGCAGCAGGCGCGAAAACUUUACAAUGCUGGCAACAGCGAUAAGGGAACCUCGAGUGCCAGGUUACAAAUCUGGCUGUCGAGAUGCCUAAAAAGCAUUUCAUAGCAAGGGCCGGGCAAGACCGGUGCCAGCCGCCGCGGUAACACCGGCGGCUCGAGUGGUAACCGUUAUUAUUGGGUCUAAAGGGUCUGUAGCCGGCCGGAUAAGUCUCUUGAGAAAUCUGGCAGCUUAACUGUCAGGCUUUCAGGAGAUACUGUCUGGCUCGAGGCCGGGAGAGGUGAGAGGCACUUCAGGGGUAGGGGUGAAAUCUUGUAAUCCUCGAAGGACCACCAGUGGCGAAGGCGUCUCACCAGAACGGACCUGACGGCAAGGGACGAAAGCUAGGGGCACGAACCGGAUUAGAUACCCGGGUAGUCCUAGCCGUAAACGAUACUCGCUAGGUGUCGGCCACGGUGCGACCGUUGUCGGUGCCGUAGGGAAGCCGUGAAGCGAGCCACCUGGGAAGUACGGCCGCAAGGCUGAAACUUAAAGGAAUUGGCGGGGGAGCACCACAACGGGUGGAGCUUGCGGUUUAAUUGGAUUCAACGCCGGA